UGGGGAAUAUUGCACAAUGGGCGCAAGCCUGAUGCAGCCAUGCCGCGUGUAUGAAGAAGGCCUUCGGGUUGUAAAGUACUUUCAGCGGGGAGGAAGGUGUUGUGGUUAAUAACCGCAGCACUUGACGUUACCCGCACAAGAAGCACCGGCUAACUCCCUGC
This 161-nucleotide ribosomal RNA is filed under the name uncultured bacterium. RNAcentral describes it as "partial 16S ribosomal RNA". It matches the Rfam family "Bacterial small subunit ribosomal RNA", at positions 355 to 508 of the family's 1533-position model. The record is from RNAcentral.